AACGAACGCUGGCGGCAGGCUUAACACAUGCAAGUCGAGCGCCCCGCAAGGGGAGCGGCAGACGGGUGAGUAACGCGUGGGAAUCUACCGUGCCCUACGGAAUAGCUCCGGGAAACUGGAAUUAAUACCGUAUACGCCCUACGGGGGAAGGAUUUAUCGGGGUAUGAUGAGCCCGCGUUGGAUUAGCUAGUUGGUGGGGUAAAGGCCUACCAAGGCGACGAUCCAUAGCUGGUCUGAGAGGAUGAUCAGCCACAUUGGGACUGAGACACGGCCCAAACUCCUACGGGAGGCAGCAGUGGGGAAUAUUGGACAAUGGGCGCAAGCCUGAUCCAGCCAUGCCGCGUGAGUGAUGAAGGUCUUAGGAUUGUAAAGCUCUUUCACCGGUGAAGAUAAUGACGGUAACCGGGGAAGAAGCCCCGGCUAACUUCGUGCCAGCAGCCGCCGUAA
Molecule: ribosomal RNA, 447 nt
Filed under: uncultured bacterium
Lineage: Bacteria
Description: partial 16S ribosomal RNA
Rfam family: Bacterial small subunit ribosomal RNA
Source: RNAcentral